Molecule: long non-coding RNA, 352 nt
Filed under: Vulpes vulpes (red fox)
Lineage: Eukaryota; Metazoa; Chordata; Mammalia; Carnivora; Canidae
Description: lncRNA (ENSVVUG00000021888.1)
Source: RNAcentral
AAAAUGCCCUGGGCCAAAACUCUCUGUGGGAAACAAGCUUCUAGAAUCACUAGGUUCUGACCAUUAUGGAAUAUUCUUCUACAACUGAGAAAGUGAAGCUGCUGAAUGCAGUCUUUCCCUUAUUGGCACAACAUCAAUCUAAAGUCGUAGAUCACUCUGGAAAGAAGUGCCCCAGAGCCCUGACUCUCUGAACUGCAGAAUACCUUCUGCUCUGACAGAUGGGGGCCUAACAAGCUGUUGUUGCCAUCAGUACAAUGCAAAUGUGAAUUCUCUUUACAGCUUUGAACAGUGUUCUUUUAUAGCACCAGAGGACUGGUCUUAGGCCCUCAGGAGCGCUACCAAAGGAGUAGAU